AUUCCAGCUCCAAUAGCGUAUAUUAAAGUUGUUGCGGUAAAAAAGCUCGUAGUUGGAUUUCUGUUGAAGACGUCCGGUCCAUACCACGUAUGCGCAUCUGGCGCGGCUUCGGCAUCCUCUCGAAAGACGUUUCUGCGCUUGAUUGCGUGGAGCGGAUCUCGGGACUUUUACUUUGAGGAAAUUAGAGUGUUCACGGCAGGCUAUCGCCAGAAUACAUUAGCAUGGAAUAAUACUAUAGGAUCUCGGUUCUAUUUUGUUGGUUUCUAGAAUUGAGAUAAUGAUUAAUAGGGACAAUUGGGGGCAUUCGUAUCAACACGUUAGAGGUGAAAUUCUUGGAUCGUGUUGCGACGAACUACUGCGAAAGCAUUUGCCAAGGAUGUUUUCAUUGAUCAAGAACGAAAGUAAGGGGAUCGAAGACGAUUAGAUACCGUCGUAGUCUUUACCAUAAACUAUGCCAACUAGAGAUGGGACAUCGUUCACUUAAGACUUGUUCCGCACCUUAUGAGAUAUCAAAGUCUUUGGGUUCCGGGGGGAGUAUGGUCGCAAGUCUGAAACUUAAAGGAAUUGACGGAAGGGCACCACCAGGAGUGGAGCCUGUGGCUUAAUUUGACUCAACACGGGGAAACUCACCAGGUCCAGACAUAAUAAGGAUUGACAGAUUGAUAGCUCUUUCUUGAUUUUAUGGGUGGUGGUGCAUGGCCGUUCUUAGUUCGUGGAGUGAUUUGUCUGCUUAAUUGCGUUAACGAACGAGACCUUAACCUGCUAAAUAGGAGCGCCUAUCUCCGGAUAAGCGCCUUUCUUCUUAGAGGGACUUUAUGCGUUUCAGCAUGAGGAAGUUUGAGGCUAAA
This 848-nucleotide ribosomal RNA is filed under the name uncultured eukaryote. Its description in RNAcentral is "SSU rRNA". It matches the Rfam family "Eukaryotic small subunit ribosomal RNA", at positions 582 to 1455 of the family's 1831-position model. The record is from RNAcentral.